Molecule: non-coding RNA, 73 nt
Organism: Paramuricea clavata
Lineage: Eukaryota; Metazoa; Cnidaria; Anthozoa; Malacalcyonacea; Plexauridae
Source: the annotation of a GenBank genome assembly
GACCGCAUAGCUCAGUUGGUAGAGCAUUGGGCUAGUAUUCCAAAGGUCGUAGGUUCGAUUCCCACCGUGGUCA